RNA transcript from Pungitius pungitius (ninespine stickleback), 993 nucleotides. RefSeq lists it as uncharacterized. The record is from RefSeq and is a predicted model, not a curated record. NCBI's taxonomy places the organism in Eukaryota, Metazoa, Chordata, Actinopteri, Perciformes, Gasterosteidae. The transcript has 5 exons.
CAAAGGUUAUCCAUCUCCAUCCAACCUUAAUGUUAAAUGCCAAAGGUUUCUGACAUCGUCUAACUUUAUUUGAGGUUUGACGUUGUAAUGAAAUGGUGCUGUUGUUGAGGGGACUUUGUUUUAAAAGUCUAAAGUGAGCAGUUCCGCUCUAUCGUUUUCAAACGGCCGUAUAGUUUAAUCUACUGGCAUAAUACAUUUACUGUUCAUGGUUAUUCAAUCUAUUUGACCACUCGCUCGGUAAGUUAACGUCACGCAUCUCGUGAUGAGCUCAGCACGUGCGGUCACGAGUCCUCGCGCCGUGUAGUCUCCGUAGACCUCAUUGAGCGAGGUGUCUCCCGUGUAGUCUGCAGACCUUAUCCAGCGAGGCUCAGCCUGCUGUGGCUCCGUCCUUUCCUGUAGCGUCUGCUAGAGCGACCUGAGGCGGUUUGAGCCCCUGCUGUGGCCCCUCGCGGCAGGGUUAUAGAUAUGGACCUUGUGAUGGGUGAGCCAGUGAGGGGACCCCGUGCCACCAAGGGACUAGUCUGCAGGACAGCAGAGACUAGUUCCUGCUCGGGCCGUUUAAAUUAACAGCUGGGGCUUGACUAUGACUAAGCUGAAUAAGUAAGUUUAGUUAGGUUAUAUUCCUGUUGGUGAUGCUGCAUAUUUGCCACAUGGUGUGGUGCAUUGAGGGUGUGCGCAGACCUUUUCCAGCGAGGCUCAGCCUGCAGUGGCUCUGUUCUUUCCUGUAGUGUCUGCUAGAGAGAAGAGAGGCUGUUUGAGGCCCAGCCGUGACUCUUUACGGCCGGGUUAUAGGAACAAUGAGUUAAUUUAAGAGCCUCGUGGUGCCUUCCGCCCAUUGAACCUGUAAACUAAGUGUCCACAAACGACAAAUCUGAAGCGGAUUUCAUCAGAGUUGGAGAAAAAGUUUGUCUGCUGAAGGAAAACAAAUGUAACAUUUCUCGUGUGAAUUUGCUGUUAUUUAUUCCACUACAAAAUAAAUGUAUAUUCUCGUAA